UACGAGUGCUUCGAGCGUUAUCCGGAAUCAUUGGGGCGUAAAGGGUGUGUAGGUGGUUGUGUUAGUCUCACGUAAAAUUCUUUCGGCUCAACCGAGAGUCUGCGCGGGAAACGGCACGACUAGAGGACGGAAGAGGUUUCUGGAACUCAUAGUGUAGCGGUGAAAUGCGUUGAUAUUAUGGGGGAACACCAAAAGCGAAGGCAAGAAAACUGGUCCGCUCCUGACACUGAAACACGAAAGCGUGGGUCGCGAAUGGG
This 257-nucleotide ribosomal RNA is filed under the name uncultured bacterium. RNAcentral's name for it is "partial 16S ribosomal RNA". It matches the Rfam family "Bacterial small subunit ribosomal RNA", at positions 524 to 776 of the family's 1533-position model. The record is from RNAcentral.